This 253-nucleotide ribosomal RNA is filed under the name uncultured bacterium. RNAcentral's name for it is "partial 16S ribosomal RNA". It matches the Rfam family "Bacterial small subunit ribosomal RNA", at positions 524 to 776 of the family's 1533-position model. The record is from RNAcentral.
GACAGAGGGUGCAAACGUUGUUCGGAAUCACUGGGCGUAAAGGGCGCGUAGGCGGCUCAUGAAGGCUGUGGUGAAAGUCCGAGGCUCAACCUCGGAUCGGCCGUGGCGACUCGUGGGCUGGAGCACUGUAGAGGCGGGUGGAAUUUCGGGUGUAGCGGUGGAAUGCGUAGAGAUCCGGAAGAACACCAGUGGCGAAGGCGGCCCGCUGGGCAGUGGCUGACGCUGAGGCGCGACAGCGUGGGGAGCAAACAGG